Long non-coding RNA from Dermochelys coriacea (leatherback sea turtle), 165 nucleotides. RefSeq lists it as uncharacterized. NCBI's taxonomy places the organism in Eukaryota, Metazoa, Chordata, Testudines, Dermochelyidae. The transcript has 3 exons. The record is from RefSeq and is a predicted model, not a curated record.
UUUUUAACCAAGCUGAUUUCCAAGGGUAAAAGGUAAAAUAGUGUGUACUUGGGGAAGAUUUAACCUGAGCUGGUAAAAAGAAGCAUAGGAGGUUUUCAUGCAGGUCCCCACAUCUGUAGCCUAAAGUUCAGAGUGGGGAAGGAACCUUGACAAUAGCCCUAGUCA